UACGUAGGGGGCAAGCGUUAUCCGGAUUUAUUGGGUUUAAAGGGAGCGUAGGCGGGUUGUUAAGUCAGUUGUGAAAGUUUGCGGCUCAACCGUAAAAUUGCAGUUGAUACUGGCAUCCUUGAGUACAGUAGAGGUAGGCGGAAUUCGUGGUGUAGCGGUGAAAUGCUUAGAUAUCACGAAGAACUCCGAUUGCGAAGGCAGCCUGCUGGACUGUAACUGACGCUGAUGCUCGAAAGUGUGGGUAUCAAACAGG
RNAcentral lists this ribosomal RNA (253 nucleotides) under uncultured bacterium. Its description in RNAcentral is "partial 16S ribosomal RNA". It matches the Rfam family "Bacterial small subunit ribosomal RNA", at positions 524 to 776 of the family's 1533-position model. The record is from RNAcentral.